RNAcentral lists this ribosomal RNA (468 nucleotides) under uncultured bacterium. RNAcentral's name for it is "partial 16S ribosomal RNA". It matches the Rfam family "Bacterial small subunit ribosomal RNA", at positions 28 to 507 of the family's 1533-position model. The record is from RNAcentral.
GACGAACGCUGGCGGCGUGCUUAACACAUGCAAGUCGAACGGAAAGGCCCUGCUCUUGUGGGGUGCUCGUGUGGCGCACGGGUGAGUAUCACGUGUGUAACCUGUCCUUGACUUUGGGAUAACUCCUGGAAACUGGGGCUCAUAUCCGAUAGGAGCUCUUGCUGCAUGGUGGGGGUUGGUAAGUUGCGGCGGUUGGGGAUGGACUCGCGGCUUCUCAGCUUGUUGGUGGGGUAGUGGCUUACCAAGGCUUUGACGGGUAGCCGGCCUGGGAGGGUGACCGGCCACAUUGGGACUGAGAUACGGCCCAGACUGCUACGUGAGGCAGCGGUGGAGAAUAUUGCGCAGUGGGCGGAAGCCUGAUGCAGCAACGCCGCGUGCGGAAUGACGGCCUUCUGGUUAUAAACCGCUUUCGCCUGUGACGAAGCGUGAGUGACGGUAAUUAGUAAAGAAGCACCGGCUAACUACGUG